GUCCACGCUGUAAACGAUGAGUGCUAGACGUUGGGGUAACCUUCAGUGUCGCAGCUAACGCAUUAAGCACUCCGCCUGGGGAGUACGGUCGCAAGAUUAAACUCAAAGGAAUUGACGGGGCCCGCACAAGCGGUGGAGCAUGUGGUUUAAUUCGACGCAACGCGAAGAACCUUACCAGCCCUUGACAUGGGUAUCGCGGGUUUCAGAGAUGAGACCCUUCAGUUCGGCUGGAUACCACACAGGUGCUGCAUGGCUGUCGU
RNAcentral lists this ribosomal RNA (260 nucleotides) under uncultured bacterium. RNAcentral's name for it is "partial 16S ribosomal RNA". It matches the Rfam family "Bacterial small subunit ribosomal RNA", at positions 793 to 1055 of the family's 1533-position model. The record is from RNAcentral.